Molecule: ribosomal RNA, 397 nt
Filed under: uncultured bacterium
Lineage: Bacteria
Description: partial 16S ribosomal RNA
Rfam family: Bacterial small subunit ribosomal RNA
Source: RNAcentral
AUACGUAGGGGGCGAGCGUUGUCCGGAAUGAUUGGGCGUAAAGGGCGCGUAGGCGGCGCGGUAAGUCUGGAGUGAAAGUCCUGCUUUCAAGGUGGGAAUUGCUUUGGAUACUGCCGCGCUUGAGUGCAGGAGAGGUUAUCGGAAUUCCCGGUGUAGCGGUGAAAUGCGUAGAGAUCGGGAGGAACACCAGUGGCGAAGGCGGGUAACUGGACUGCAACUGACGCUGAGGCGCGAAAGCGUGGGUAGCGAACAGGAUUAGAUACCCUGGUAGCCCACGCCGUAAACGAUGGAUACUAGGUGUAGGAGGUAUCGACCCCUUCUGUGCCGGAGGUAACACAAUAAGUAUCCCACCUGGGGAGUACGGCCGCAAGGUGGAAACUCUAAGGAAUUGACGGGG